CGGAGAGGGAGGAAAACUUCUUCCUGGCCUGGGCUCCGUGCCGCUCUGUUUGCCAACCGUCCAGUCCCGCCUACCAGUGCCGGGCGCUCCCCACCCCUCCCCCGGCUCCCCCGGUGUCCGCCAUGGCCAAAGCCUACGACCACCUCUUCAAGUUGCUGCUGAUCGGGGACUCGGGGGUGGGCAAGACUUGUCUGAUCAUUCGCUUUGCAGAGGACAACUUCAACAACACUUACAUCUCCACCAUCGGUGAGCCCGCUGGCCAUGUCCCAGACCCCGACUCUCCUGUGACCUCCUUCUCAGGCUCCCGGAUUACUAGUGACCCCACUUUUCAGUCCCCUUAGAGAAUUGAUUUCAAGAUCCGCACUGUGGAUAUAGAGGGGAAGAAGAUCAAACUACAAGUCUGGGACACGGCUGGCCAAGAGCGGUUCAAGACAAUAACUACUGCCUACUACCGUGGAGCCAUGGGCAUUAUCCUAGUAUACGACAUCACGGAUGAGAAAUCUUUCGAGAAUAUUCAGAACUGGAUGAAAAGCAUCAAGGAGAAUGCCUCAGCUGGGGUGGAGCGCCUCUUGCUAGGGAACAAAUGUGACAUGGAGGCCAAGAGGAAGGUGCAGAAGGAGCAGGCCGAUAAGUUGGCUCGAGAGCAUGGAAUCCGAUUUUUCGAAACUAGUGCUAAAUCCAGUAUGAACGUGGAUGAGGCUUUUAGUUCCCUGGCCCGGGACAUCUUGCUCAAGUCAGGAGGCCGGAGAUCAGGAAAUGGCAACAAGCCUCCCAGUACUGACCUGAAAACUUGCGACAAGAAGAACACCAAUAAGUGCUCCCUGGGCUGAGGACCCUUUCUUGCCUCCCCACCCUGGAAGCUGAACCU
Molecule: small RNA, 868 nt
Filed under: Pongo abelii (Sumatran orangutan)
Lineage: Eukaryota; Metazoa; Chordata; Mammalia; Primates; Hominidae
Description: processed transcript
Source: RNAcentral